RNAcentral lists this ribosomal RNA (650 nucleotides) under uncultured soil bacterium. Its description in RNAcentral is "bacterial SSU rRNA". It matches the Rfam family "Bacterial small subunit ribosomal RNA", at positions 33 to 728 of the family's 1533-position model. The record is from RNAcentral.
ACGCUGGCGGCAGGCCUAACACAUGCAAGUCGAGCGGUCGUAGCAAUACGGCAGCGGCAGACGGGAGAGUAACACGUGGGAACGCGCCCUUCGGUUCGGGAUAACCCAGGGAAACUUGGGCUAAUACCGGAUACGCCCUUACGGGGAAAGAUUUAUUGCCGAAGGAACGGCCCGCGUCCGAUUAGCUAGUUGGUGAGGUAACGGCUCACCAAGGCGACGAUCGGUAGCUGGUCUGAGAGGAUGACCAGCCUCACUGGGACUGAGACACGGCCCAGACUCCUACGGGAGGCAGCAGUGGGGAAUAUUGGACAAUGGGCGCAAGCCUGAUCCAGCCAUGCCGCAUGGGUGAUGAAGGCCCUAGGGUUGUAAAGCCCUUUCAGCGGGGAAGAUAAUGACGGUACCCGCAGAAGAAGCCCCGGCUAACUUCGUGCAGCAGCCGCGGUAAUACGAAGGGGGCUAGCGUUGCUCGGAAUUACUGGGCGUAAAGCGCACGUAGGCGGCUUUCUAAGUCGGGGGUGAAAUCCUGGAGCUCAACUCCAGAACUGCCUUCGAUACUGGAAAGCUCGAGUCCGGGAGAGGUGAGUGGAACUGCGAGUGUAGAGGUGAAAUUCGUAGAUAUUCGCAAGAACACCAGUGGCGAAGGCGGCUCA